RNAcentral lists this long non-coding RNA (574 nucleotides) under Dromaius novaehollandiae (emu). Its description in RNAcentral is "lncRNA (ENSDNVG00000014241.1)". The record is from RNAcentral. Lineage: Eukaryota; Metazoa; Chordata; Aves; Casuariiformes; Dromaiidae.
GCCAGCUGGGUGCAUGUGUGGGUGGGGCUGAGGGCUGUGGGAGGGGCUUGAUGGAGAGUGGGUGGGGCCUGGUGGGAGCAUUGGGGUGUGGGCGGGGCCACACUGACCCCGCCCCCUCCCCGCAGUGCUGCGGAAGCGCCUGGCGGCCAUCUUUGACGCCUGCGUCCUCUCGAAGCGCUGCCCCCCCGGCUGCCCCCACCGCCACAAGGACGCGCUGUGGGUGCGGGGGCUGAACGCGGCGCUGGGGGCCCUGGCGCUCUUCCACCUCGCCUACCUGGGCGCCCUCUUCGACGUGGAGGCCGACGACGCCGUGGAGGAGCAGGGCUACGGGAUGUCCUACACCGUGCGCAAGUGGUCGGAGCUGAGCUGGGCCAGCCACUGGGUGACGCUGGGCUGCUGGGUCGUCGCCCGCCUGCUCCGCUGACCGGGGACGCGCUGGGAGCAACUGGGAGCACUGGGGAGCCCCCCCUCCCAGCACCGGGGGAGAGCACGCAGAGAGGGCCCCCUUCCACACCCUUCUAGGCGGUGGAGGACUGCUCCUCUCUAUGGUUGCACCCCCACGCACCAGCCAAUG